RNAcentral lists this ribosomal RNA (253 nucleotides) under uncultured bacterium. Its description in RNAcentral is "partial 16S ribosomal RNA". It matches the Rfam family "Bacterial small subunit ribosomal RNA", at positions 524 to 776 of the family's 1533-position model. The record is from RNAcentral.
UACGGAGGGUGCGAACGUUAAUCGGAAUCACGGGGCGGAAAGCGCGCGUAGGCGGUUCGUUAAGGGGGAUGUGAAAUCCCCGGGCUUAACCUGGGAAUUGCAUUUCAAACUGGCCGACUAGAGUACGGUAGAGGGAGGUAGAAUUUCCUGUGUAGCGGUGAAAUGCGUAGAUAUAGGAAGGAAUACCAGUGGCGAAGGCGGCCUCCUGGAUCGAUACUGACGCUGAGGCGCGAAAGCGUGGGGAGCAAACAGG